GUUGGUUGAAAAUCACUCUCGGCUUUGGCCGUGGUCGUGGGUGAGAUUCGGCGCCCAGAGCCACCGGGGCCUCAGCUCACCGCCCACUGCCUCGUGUGCGAGGGUGAAACCCAGGCCCCGACAGUC
Molecule: small nucleolar RNA, 126 nt
Filed under: Carlito syrichta (Philippine tarsier)
Lineage: Eukaryota; Metazoa; Chordata; Mammalia; Primates; Tarsiidae
Description: Small nucleolar RNA ACA64 (ENSTSYG00000029665.1)
Rfam family: Small nucleolar RNA ACA64
Source: Rfam by way of RNAcentral